Molecule: ribosomal RNA, 270 nt
Filed under: uncultured bacterium
Lineage: Bacteria
Description: partial 16S ribosomal RNA
Rfam family: Bacterial small subunit ribosomal RNA
Source: RNAcentral
GUCCACGCUGUAAACGAUGAUCACUAGAUGUGGGACGGAUUCGUCUGUUCCGUGUCGAAGCUAACGCGAUAAGUGAUCCACCUGGGGAUUACGGUCGCAAGAUUAAAACUCAAAGAAAUUGACGGGGGUCCGCACAAGCAGUGGAACAUGUGGUUUAAUUCGACACUACGCGAGAAACCUUACCCGGAUUUGACAUGUAACGUUUAAGGGGGCGAAAUCCCCUGAUCUGUAGCAAUACAGAGUGUUACACAGGUGCUGCAUGGCUGUCGU